Molecule: ribosomal RNA, 252 nt
Filed under: uncultured bacterium
Lineage: Bacteria
Description: partial 16S ribosomal RNA
Rfam family: Bacterial small subunit ribosomal RNA
Source: RNAcentral
UACGUAGGGUGCAAGCGUUAUCCGGAAUUAUUGGGCGUAAAGAGCUCGUAGGCGGUUUGUCGCGUCUGCUGUGAAAACUGGAGGCUCAGCCUCCAGCCUGCAGUGGGUACGGGCAAACUAGAGUGCGGUAGGGGAGAUUGGAAUUCCUGGUGUAGCGGUGGAAUGCGCAGAUAUCAGGAGGAACACCGAUGGCGAAGGCAGAUCUCUGGGCCGUAACUGACGCUGAGGAGCGAAAGCAUGGGAGCGAACAGG